GCAUGCCUUGUUCAAGUCUCGAUAAUCCACACACGUCUAAACCUUACCAUCCUUCUUCGGACUGGGACAAUGUUUGCCAACCAUUUGGGGUCAUCAAUCACAUUAAGGAAAUUAGCUUUAACCUGCUUAGUGACCUCUUCUCAUAUUUUCUUUGCCCAUUCCAGCCUUAAUCUUUGUUUGACCGGUUUGAUGCGCGAAUG
RNAcentral lists this long non-coding RNA (200 nucleotides) under Ricinus communis (castor bean). Its description in RNAcentral is "long non-coding RNA (RCOM_LNC001321)". Lineage: Eukaryota; Viridiplantae; Streptophyta; Magnoliopsida; Malpighiales; Euphorbiaceae. The record is from RNAcentral.